Molecule: long non-coding RNA, 2472 nt
Organism: Fundulus heteroclitus (mummichog)
Lineage: Eukaryota; Metazoa; Chordata; Actinopteri; Cyprinodontiformes; Fundulidae
Exons: 4
Source: RefSeq, a predicted model, not a curated record
CCUGUUCAAACUAUGGCUCAUUGAGGCUGCGGCUCUUCACGGGGGAGCAUCAUAACCGCGGAGCAGCAGCGGAGAACAUCCCUGCACCGAACCGUGAGGAGGAUCCAGCAUCUUCGAGUCCCGACCGGAGAUAAUCUCCUGGAUCCAUCUCGGUUAAGGAUCCAUGCCAUGGAUUAAGGGGUCAAACCAACCAAGUUACGUUUCAGCGCUGACACGUGUGGAAAAGUUAUACUUUCUGCCUUCAGCUGGAGGAUUAAAACUGAUUUAAACCAAGGAUCGUUUUUAAUGGAAUAGAGGAAUUGUUCUCCCCCCCAGGAUGAGUUGGAUCUGUUGCUGUUUUGCUCCUGCUGUUGAACAAGUCGGCUCACGGACACUCGCUUCUCUCUGGAAACACGCACAGUCCAGAGUGGUCAAUAAGAAGAUGCGUAAGGCUACCCUACUUUUUUUGGAUAUUUGGAACUUAUGCUCCCUAUCGGAUUUGGACGUGCCACAAGGAAAAAUACGGAUAGAAACAUCCUGGAAUAUAACCGAAAGCUGUGCUUGGUGACUUUCCAGUGAUUACUAUGGUCAAAAUGAGCCUCCUGAACAAGCAGGUCCUCUGCCUCUCUCUGAGCUUGAAGAGCAAGGAUGAAGGCCCGUCAGAGCUGUCUGCCUUGCAUACAUCACUCUCCGCUGAGCUUUUAUCUAGCCAGACUGGUCUUUCCUCCAUCCAGACCCGGCUCCCGGCAAGUGCACCGUCCUGAGACCUGUGGCAUUAAUAAAGAUAAUGCUGUUUGGAAUAAUAACAGCCAAUUCGACCCAAAAGAGGAAAGAGACAGGACAUACAAGUGUCAUGGAAUACAAAAGAAAUCAAGAUGAAAGGCUGAAAGGUGACCUCAGGUGAAUAGGCUGAGUAAUGGAAACAUUAUCUCAACAGUUUUAAAAGGAUCGCACCUAAUCAUGGGUUGGACGGUGGACCUGCAUCCUCCUGCAGCAGAUGUUCGGUCCUGGCACGACAGAUGACAGAGUGAGCUACUUCCCUGACGAUGUAGCUGUCAGGAUCGAGCCAGUAGUCGAACUUGGAAAAAGCUGUGACAUACACUCAGAGGCAGAGUGAGGAGGAUUCAGCAGCUCAGACACUGUGGAACACAUGUGUCAACAUCUGGAUACACGCUCAGUAGAAAAAUCGAUGUAAUAAAUGUACUAAUGCCACAGUUACAUCAACCAUCUUCACAUUGUUUGACUUUCUCAUUUUUUCCUGAAUUGAAUUUGGAUAAAUAUUGUUCCUGCAUGUGCAUAUGCUCUUGAUUUUCAGCGUUUCUUCAUGCUGUGACAUUUAUGCUCGACACGAUUUCACCAACCACUGGAAAAUUUAAAGGACAAUAAUCAGAUGGACUUUGUAUUUUUAUACAGUUUUUUUGCACACAUGAAAUACAGAACAUAAAAUCUAUUCUGUACAGCGCCAUGCAAAGGUAUUCAUGCUUAUUGAACUUUUCAACAACAAACUUUAAUGUAUUGUAAAGGGAUUUUAUAUCAGGCUAAAACAAAGAUCAUGAUAGUAAUUUUAAAGAGAAGGAAGACACUUUUUAAAAAAAAAAGGUUUACAGAUACAAUUCUGAAACGUGUGGCAUGCAUACGUAUUCACCUUUUGCUGCCAUUACAGCUUCAAGUUUUAUGGGUAUGUCUCUGCCAACUUAGUUUCAGUAGACACUGAAAUUCUUCCAAUUCAUCUUCGCAGAAGAGCUCAAACUUGAGUAACACUGAAAAUCUGUGUCUGUGAGCGUUGGUUUUUGUGUUUUGCUAAAGAUCUCCAAUUACAUUUAGGUCUGGACUUUGACAGGACCAUUUCAACAGCCUCUAACAGGCUUUCUUCCAGGGUUGCUCAGUAUGCAGCUCCACCUGUCUUCCCAUCAGUUAUGACCAACUCCCUGCUGAAGAAACAAAUUCCCACAGCAUGCUGCCCCCACUACCAUAUUUUACUAUAAUGAUGUUGCAAUGAUAGUUUUCACCUUUCUGAAGCUGGUCUUAUUUAGAGAUAGCAGAGUAAGGGGGCUAAAGACAAAAGCAUGCCACAUACUAUGUAUCCAUUAGAGUCUGUUCUAAACUUUACAGUUGUGCACUAUUGUGUGUUCACAAUACAAUGUAUUGAGGUUUGUGGUUGUAAAAUGUAUAAAGGUGAAACAUUUCAAGGGCCAUCAGUACUUCAAAAAAUGAACUUGCUUGUGAUCAAGGUGCUGCACAGAGCCGGUUUAUUUAGUGGAAUUACCGUUUCUGUCUUCCAGUUACCUUCACAAAGGCGCCAUUGUUUCAGGUUUUAUUGAUGAAUGCAAACCGAAAACACUCCCAAAUGCAUUUCUUUGUGACACAUUGGCAGAGUUUUGAUGUAGGCUGAAGAUCCUGGCAAAUCCUUGCAUUCUGAUCAUGAUUUAUAGCUCUGCCAUUUUUGUUAUGUCUGCAGAAACCUGAUAGCAGAAAUAAAAAAAGUAUAUUUAA